This 468-nucleotide ribosomal RNA is filed under the name uncultured bacterium. RNAcentral describes it as "partial 16S ribosomal RNA". It matches the Rfam family "Bacterial small subunit ribosomal RNA", at positions 28 to 507 of the family's 1533-position model. The record is from RNAcentral.
GACGAACGCUGGCGGCGUGCUUAACACAUGCGAGUCGAACGGAAAGGCCCUGCUUUUGUGGGGUGCUCGAGUGGCGAACGGGUGAGUAACACGUGAGUAACCUGCCCUUGACUUUGGGAUAACUUCAGGAAACUGGGGCUAAUAUCGGAUAGGAGCUCCUGCUGCAUGGUGGGGGUUGGAAAGUUUCGGCCGUUGGGGAUGGACUCGCGGCUUAUCAGCUUGUUGGUGGGGUAGUGUCUUACCAAGGCUUUGACGGGUAGCCGGCCUGAGAGGUUGACCGGCCACAUUGGGACUGAGAUACGGCCCAGACUCCUACGGGAGGCAGCAGUGGGGAAUAUUGCACAAUGGGCGGAAGCCUGAUGCAGCAACGCCGCGUGCGGGAUAACGGCCUUCGGGUUGUAAACCGCUUUCGCCUGUGACGAAGCGUGAGUGACGGUAAUGGGUAAAGAAGCACCGGCUAACUACGUG